UGUAAAAAAAUUGACAAUUUUGUGUGCAAAGACGAAGGAAACUCGGUUGGGUGGUAGAACGAUGUAGUUUUUUGAACAAGACACGAACAAAAUAGUGUUGUGUGUGUGUGUGUGAGGCAAGGCAGUCGAGUCCAGUUAUCCAACCUGAAGCCAUAUAAUUCCGAGUCCCCACGUCUUGUUUCUCUUAUUGUCAUACCAGCCGGAAAAAUAUAAAAAAUAUGGAAUCUUGGUAACCAUUCAGAACAUUGGUGGCUUCCGUUAAACCCUUUCAGAUUCCUACUUUAAAUUCGCUUCUUCACUUCAUCUCGUCAUAGAUAUUAGAUAUAUUCACAUCACCGUUCUGUUUCAAACUCAGCCUCUUCGUUUUGUUGUUGUUCCAUCAAGAACCCAUCUAGAAACUAAACGGCAAUCUAUAUGAUGGUCCUACGAUGUUAACAGUGUAUGCUCCGGAAGCUAUCAGCAUGAACCUGGCAUGUCUGGACUGUAACACACUGAAUGAUGCUUCUUUUAUACAAGAUUACUCAUGUUAAUCCCUUGACUUGCAUUGCAGUUUCUCCUAGCCCUUCACAGGGUCCUUGCAAUAAUGUUGUUCAUGGUUUCCCCUUUAAUUCUUGGAAAGGGCAAAAUCAACUUGACAUCAAUCAUUUGUCACACUGAGUGCCUACUAAGAAAUGGCUGGUAAGCAAUAAACUGUUAAGAUAUAUUUUAAUUUGUAAAA
Mangifera indica (mango) is the source of this 718-nucleotide long non-coding RNA. RefSeq lists it as uncharacterized. The transcript is spliced from 2 exons. The record is from RefSeq and is a predicted model, not a curated record. NCBI's taxonomy places the organism in Eukaryota, Viridiplantae, Streptophyta, Magnoliopsida, Sapindales, Anacardiaceae.